RNAcentral lists this ribosomal RNA (375 nucleotides) under Triticum aestivum (bread wheat). Its description in RNAcentral is "partial small subunit ribosomal RNA". Lineage: Eukaryota; Viridiplantae; Streptophyta; Magnoliopsida; Poales; Poaceae. The record is from RNAcentral.
AUGACUGAAUUUGCGUUGGCUGGCGUUACAUGUCUUCAAAAACCUGGCCUUGUUCCUUUUACCCCCAAAAAAGGACCAGGUCAAUGUGCUAAUUCCUGGUUCAUCUUUGUCUGGAUGAAGAUUUGUAGGUUGCAUGGUGACAGUUUCACCAUGAGAAUCGUCCGUCCGUCCGCGGGUGCUGAUUGGCAGGGAGAAGGUGGUGCUGAGGAUCUUGAAGACGGUGAAGAACUCGCGCAGCGCCGUGCUCAAGACCUCUGCGAUGGCAUGCACUGCUCUGCACUGCUCUGUGUCCAUUCAUGCUUCGCAAAGGUAACUCCUUCCCUAGUUAUUCCUCGUCGAUCUCAUGGCACAUACUUAUCCCUCCAUGGUAGCUGA